CCUACGGGAGGCAGCAGUGGGGAUUAUUGCACAAUGGGGGAAACCCUGAUGCAGCAACGCCGCGUGAGUGAAGAAGUAUUUCGGUAUGUAAAGCUCUAUCAGCAGGGAAGAAAAUGACAGUACCUGACUAAGAAGCCCCGGCUAACUACGUGCCAGCAGCCGCGGUAAUACGUAGGGGGCAAGCGUUAUCCGGAUUUACUGGGUGAAAAGGGAGCGUAGACGGCUGCGCAAGUCAGAAGUGAAAGCCCGGGCGCAACCGCGGGAAUGCUUUUGAAACUGUGUAGCUAGAGUGCAGGAGAGGUAAGUGGAAUUCCUAGUGUAGCGGUGAAAUGCGUAGAUAUUAGGAGGAACACCGGUGGCGAAGGCGGCUUACUGGACUGUAACUGACGUUGAGGCUCGAAAGCGUGGGGAGCAAACAGGAUUAGAUACCCCGGUAGUC
Molecule: ribosomal RNA, 439 nt
Filed under: uncultured bacterium
Lineage: Bacteria
Description: partial 16S ribosomal RNA
Rfam family: Bacterial small subunit ribosomal RNA
Source: RNAcentral